This is a long non-coding RNA of Quercus lobata, 591 nucleotides long. RefSeq lists it as uncharacterized. Lineage: Eukaryota; Viridiplantae; Streptophyta; Magnoliopsida; Fagales; Fagaceae. The transcript is spliced from 3 exons. The record is from RefSeq and is a predicted model, not a curated record.
CUAACUCAGGAAGCUGGCAAGAAGUUUGCAUUUGGGAAAAUAAUUGAGUUGAUGACAUCUGUUGCCAAGGCACUUCAGGCACGAGGGACAACAUAUCUGUUGUGUUCAGCUGGAUGAAAAAUUACAUUAUGAAGUUUUCAUCCACUCCCAAGCCAACAGAAGUUUUAGCUGCUAACAAGAAGAUUGCGUCUCAGAAAAUAGCGAACUUGAUGACAACUGAUACCAAGACACUUCAAGUUUGCUUUCUCUUUACCAUUUGGGAUAUGUAUAUAUAAUUUACUUUAAUUUGUGCAUUACAAGACCCUAUUCAGUUUAUGCAUUUGCAGAGUCGCUGUUUUGUAGCCAAUGUACAUAUCUACAUAAACAAAACUUUUAGUCUAUGUAAAGGUGUGCAUGUCAACUCCACACAUAUGUUCAUAUAUUGCCAAAACAACUUAUAUAGUUAGAUUGAGUACAGCCAAAUCACUGAAUUGUGUUUUGACUCUUUUUGAUAUGAAAGUCAUUUUGUGCAUAUGGUGUUAUUGACCUUCUCAAGGUUUACUAUCAUAUAUAUAUUUCAGAUUAUUCUGGCAUGAUUAAGGUAUAGAUAUG